CCUUGGGUGGUGCAAAUGGUCAACAUGCUCGGCUGCUAACCGAAAGGCUGGAGGUUUGAGUCCACCCAAAGGU
This 73-nucleotide transfer RNA is filed under the name Loxodonta africana (African savanna elephant). It matches the Rfam family "tRNA". Rfam says of the family: Transfer RNA (tRNA) molecules are approximately 80 nucleotides in length. Their secondary structure includes four short double-helical elements and three loops (D, anti-codon, and T loops). Lineage: Eukaryota; Metazoa; Chordata; Mammalia; Proboscidea; Elephantidae. The record is from Rfam by way of RNAcentral.